Molecule: ribosomal RNA, 373 nt
Filed under: uncultured organism
Description: partial 16S ribosomal RNA
Rfam family: Bacterial small subunit ribosomal RNA
Source: RNAcentral
GUAGGUGGCAAGCGUUGUCCGGAAUUAUUGGGCGUAAAGCGCGCGCAGGCGGUUCUUUAAGUCUGAUGUGAAAGCCCACGGCUCAACCGUGGAGGGUCAUUGGAAACUGGAGAACUUGAGUACAGAAGAGGAAAGCGGAAUUCCACGUGUAGCGGUGAAAUGCGUAGAGAUGUGGAGGAACACCAGUGGCGAAGGCGGCUUUCUGGUCUGUAACUGACGCUGAGGCGCGAAAGCGUGGGGGAGCAAACAGGAUUAGAUACCCUGGUAGUCCACGCCGUAAACGAUGAGUGCUAAGUGUUAGGGGGUUUUCCGCCCCUUAGUGCUGCAGCUAACGCAUUAAGCACUCCGCCCUGGGAGUACGGCCGCAAGGCUG